RNAcentral lists this ribosomal RNA (301 nucleotides) under uncultured bacterium. RNAcentral's name for it is "partial 16S ribosomal RNA". It matches the Rfam family "Bacterial small subunit ribosomal RNA", at positions 509 to 807 of the family's 1533-position model. The record is from RNAcentral.
CAGUAGCCGCGGUAAUACGUAGGUGGCAAGCGUUGUCCGGAAUUAUUGGGCGUAAAGCGCGCGCAGGUGGUUUAAUAAGUCUGAUGUGGAAGCCCACGGCUCAACCGUGGAGGGUCAUUGGAAACUGUUAAACUUGAGUGCAGGAGAGAAAAGUGGAAUUCCUAGUGUAGCGGUGAAAUGCGUAGAGAUUAGGAGGAACACCAGUGGCGAAGGCGGCUUUUUGGCCUGUAACUGACACUGAGGCGCGAAAGCGUGGGGAGCAAACAGGAUUAGAUACCCCCGUAGUCCCUGUCUCUUAUAC